RNAcentral lists this small RNA (1044 nucleotides) under Rattus norvegicus (Norway rat). Its description in RNAcentral is "uncharacterized LOC102548410". Lineage: Eukaryota; Metazoa; Chordata; Mammalia; Rodentia; Muridae. The record is from RNAcentral.
CGUCCUGAAACGCACCAGAGAAACCAACAAACACAACAUUACCCUCUCCCGCAUCUCUCAUGCAAAGUGUCCCAAAGAGGCUGGCAGAAUGGAAUUGAGCUGAGUCGCAAUGAGAAAGCAUACACGCCAUAAAGGAGCAUUCGAUAUAGAAGCAAUCACUCCAAGGUGAUCCGUGCCAUCAGUCAGUCAGAGGUGUAAAUCCCACGGGACGCAUGAGGUUCCUUUCAAUAAAAUGCAGAUGGGAUUGUUUGAGAGCCGCCUCGCAUGUGUUUAUCGGUUACUUCUGCCUCGCUGCUUAUGCAGAUUUAUUCUGUGAAGCUUUGAACACUCGGUGACUCGGAAUGGAGAAUUUUCAGUUUAGUAAAGCACACAGUUCCUAAGUGUUAUUUGGAUGUGGAAUCUGUUCCUCUGCUCUUCCCUUGUUUGGAGAUAACGAUAUUUUCUGCUGCCCCAUUUGACAGAUUUGACCUCCAGCAUUUCAGUGUUAAUCUGAACUGAAACAAGAACAGAAACGAAGAAAAUGAACAUGGAUCAGGAAUAUCACAUGUGCGCAGAGCGAGAAAACCUGGACCGACCGAGGCAGACACCGAGGGGGAUGAGCAGGACAUCACAGGGAUCACAGCCUGCUUGGGUUGUGUGAUGUGGUCGAGCAUUUGGAAGACCAUUACAAGAAGGUUUAUGGAAAAGAUCUGUUGAAGUGGUUAGAAUGAAAAUACGCAGGGUAGGUAGCAUCAAGCUAAAUGAUGAAGGUGUUCUUCAGAGAUAAUUAUUCAAGAAUGGACUUUGAUACAUGGACCGUAGGAACGCCUGAGCAUAUGCAAGUGCAAAGUCAGGGGGACUCUGUGGUCAAUUUCGAGUGCUAACUCUUUUGUUAGUAACGGGGUCGGCAACAGUUCAGAGCACUCGGGCAGCUGCCCUUACACAAGUGUCUGUGUGGUGCUCCCAUGGCAUCUGUGCAAGAGUGUGUCUUUUGUGAUAGUUCUAAACCAUCAAGAACAUGUGCCUGAGAAUCUAUCUCUAAGCACUCCUGAUUUUAUUAUUUUG